UGGUCCUAACCUUGAAUCAAUUUUUACUGUACAUACACAUGCAAGUCUCCGGACCCCCGUGAAAACGCCCUUAAACUUCCUGCUAGGAACAAGGGAGCUGGUAUCAGGCACAACUUCUGCCCAAAACACCUAGCUACGCCACACCCACAAGGGAAUUCAGCAGUGAUUAACAUUGAAUAUUAGCGUCAGCUUGAUUCAGUUAAAGUAAAUAGAGCCGGCCAAUCUGGUGCCAGCCGCCGCGGUUACACCACGUGGCUCAAAUUGAUUUUUACCGGCGUAAAGCGUGAUUAAAGUCAACCCCCUAUUGAAGUCAAAUUUAAACUAAGCCGUGACACGCUUGUUCUUUAGAAGCACAAAAACGAAAGUUACUUCAUCUUAACCUACUUGAAUACACGACAGCUUGAGCACAAACUGGGAUUAGAUACCCCACUAUGUCCAGCCGUAAACUUUAAAUUACUCCUUAUACCGCCAGGGAACUACGAGCUAAGCUUAAAACCCAAAGGACUUGACGGUACCCCAUGUCCCUCUAGAGGAGCCUGUCCUAUAAUCGAUAACCCCCGUUUAACCUCACCAUUUUUGGCUAAUCAGUUUGUAUACCUCCGUCGCCAGCUUACCCCGUGAGCGAAUCUUAGUGAGCCUAACGCCCAUACGCCAAUACGUCAGGUCAAGGUGCAGCAAAUAAAAUGGAAAGAGAUGGGCUACACUUUCUAAUAUAGAAAAUACGAAAAACUACCUAUGAAAUCCUAGUUUGAAGGCGGAUUUAGUAGUAAAAAGAAACCAGAGAGUUCUUUUUAACAAGGCCCUGGGGUGUGUACACACCGCCCGUCACCCUCUUCAAAGCCAAAUACCAGUUAUUAACAAAAUCUGCUUAACAGAAGAGGCAAGUCGUAACAUGGUAAGCAUACCGGAAGGUGUGCUUGGAAU
This 924-nucleotide non-coding RNA is filed under the name Crossodactylus schmidti (Schmidt's spinythumb frog). RNAcentral describes it as "partial 12S ribosomal RNA". It matches the Rfam family "Bacterial small subunit ribosomal RNA". Lineage: Eukaryota; Metazoa; Chordata; Amphibia; Anura; Hylodidae. The record is from RNAcentral.